GACGUAGGGCGCGAGCGUUGUCCGGAUUUAUUGGGCGUAAAGAGCUCGUAGGCGGCUUGUCGCGUCAACUGUGAAAACCCGUGGCUCAACCAUGUGGUCUGCAGUCGAUACGGGCAGGCUAGAAUUCGGUAGGGGAGACUGGAAUUCCUGGUGUAGCGGUGAAAUGCGCAGAUAUCAGGAGGAACACCGGUGGCGAAGGCGGGUCUCUGGGCCGAUACUGACGCUGAGGAGCGAAAGCGUGGGGAGCGAACAGG
This 254-nucleotide ribosomal RNA is filed under the name uncultured bacterium. RNAcentral's name for it is "partial 16S ribosomal RNA". It matches the Rfam family "Bacterial small subunit ribosomal RNA", at positions 524 to 776 of the family's 1533-position model. The record is from RNAcentral.